AAUGACCUCACAAACAGGAAUUCUCAUGUUAGUCGCCCUCUGGGCUGAAGCCUCACCACCUUAAAGGAAUCUGGAGCUGAUGACUCAAGAAAUGUCCUUCCUCCUAAGAAAUUAUCUUCCCAUCUGAGAUUAGCAGCAUCUAAUCUCAGUUUUCUCCACUGCUGACCAGCAUCAGCAACACAGCUCUAGCCCUGUUUUGGGUAUCAAAUCCAAAUCCUGUAAGCAAAAGGUCAAGGAUUCAGAAGUGAAAGGAAAGAUUGUGGCUCUAACUUUGCCAAAGUGAAAAGUACAGACCUCUGCCAUCAGUGAAGAAAGAACCCAGAUCUGAUAAGAGCUUCGAACAGGCUCAGCACCUCCUGGCACACAUAGAGCGGCAUCGCGUUGCCCCAAGAAAAUCACAUCUCUACACAUCAGACCCUUUCCAGUCCAUUUUGCCCCAUCCACAAAAUGAAAAUGCCACUUUAUUUACUAAAUCUAAAAAUUCUGUUGGGAGGCAAAGGAGAGUCGAAGAAUUUGCAAUGAAUUUAACCUGCCAGGAGAGGGAGUUUAACACCAAGCUUCCAGAAACAGGCUGUGUGGUAGCUACAACGUCCAGAAACCCAGGUUUCAACGCGGCCCUGCUUCAAGACCCAAAGGAAAUUCAGCACCAGGCGGGUGAAGUGACUUACCUGUGCACAGCUGCACUCGCAGACUUCGGAGCCCCCACCUAAUUCUAAAAUGCUGUAUGUCCAUGAACUUAAUAACAGAAGGUCAGGGGAGAGACGUUCUGAGAGCAACGGAAAUCUAUCUUAAGAUAAAGAUGUUUCUGAGGCUGAUUUUUCAAGUCAAA
Molecule: long non-coding RNA, 829 nt
Organism: Pan troglodytes (chimpanzee)
Lineage: Eukaryota; Metazoa; Chordata; Mammalia; Primates; Hominidae
Exons: 2
Source: RefSeq, a predicted model, not a curated record